CACCAGGCGCGAAAACUUUGCAAUGCGGGAAACCGUGACAAGGGAACUCUGAGUGCCCGUUAAAUCGGGCUGUCCAUCGGUUUAAAUAACCGGUGAAGAAAGGGCCGGGCAAGACCGGUGCCAGCCGCCGCGGUAAUACCGGCGGCUCGAGUGGUGGCCACUAUUACUGGGCUUAAAGCGUUCGUAGCUGGUUUGUUAAGUCUCUGGGGAAAUCUUCCGGCUUAACCGGAAGGCGUCUCAGGGAUACUGGCAGACUAGGGACCGGGAGAGGUGAGAGGUACUCCAGGGGUAGGAGUGAAAUCCUGUAAUCCUUGGGGGACCACCUGCGGCGAAGGCGUCUCACCAGAACGGCUCCGACAGUGAGGGACGAAAGCUGGGGGAGCAAACCGGAUUAGAUACCCGGGUAGUCCCAGCUGUAAACGAUGCGCGUUAGGUGUAUCGGUGACCACGAGUCACCGAGGUGCCGAAGAGAAAUCGUGAAACGUGCCGCCUGGGAAGUACGGUCGCAAGGCUGAAACUUAAAGGAAUUGGCGGGGGAGCAC
RNAcentral lists this ribosomal RNA (542 nucleotides) under uncultured archaeon. RNAcentral's name for it is "bacterial SSU rRNA". It matches the Rfam family "Archaeal small subunit ribosomal RNA", at positions 333 to 879 of the family's 1478-position model. The record is from RNAcentral.